AUAUGGUCAAGCUAUUAAGGGCACACGGUGGAUGCCUUGGUGGCAGGAGACGAUGAAAGGCGUGGUAAGCUGCGUUAAGCCUCGGGGAGUUGCUAAACAAACCUUGAUCCGGGGAUGCCUGAAUGGGGAAACCCAGCCUGAGUCAUGUCAGGCUAUCCUGUACUGAAUACAUAGGUGCAGGAAGUGAACGUGGGGAACUGAAACAUCUAAGUACCCACAGGAGUAGAAAUCAACCGAGAUUCCGCUAGUAGUGGCGAGCGAACGCGGAACAGCCUAAACCGGAUAUAUGCCAAGUCUGCAAAUUUUGUAUAUUCGGGGUCGUGGGAUGCUUCAUGAUUUCAUUGCAGUGGGGUCGGGAAGUUACAAAACUGUUAUAUAGCAGAAAGGUUCUGGAAAGGCCUGCCAAAGACGGUGAUAGCCCGGUAUGUGAAAUGUAACAGUCUUCCUCGAAGUAUUCCCAAGUACCACGGGGCACGUGAAACCUUGUGGGAAUCUGGGAGGACCAUCUUCCAAGGCUAAAUACUACCUGCCGACCGAUAGUGAACUAGUACCGUGAGGGAAAGGUGAAAAGUACCCCGAUGAGGGGAGUGAAAUAGUACCUGAAACCGUGUGCCUACAAGCAGUGGGAGCCCUAUGGCGGAUUUAUCCGCAACGGGUGACCGCGUGCCUUUUGCAUAAUGAGUCAGCGACUUACUUUAUGUAGCAAGGUUAAGCCGUUAGGUGGAGCCGUAGCGAAAGCGAGUCUUAAUAGGGCGAUUUAGUUGCAUGGAGUAGACCCGAAGCCAGGUGAUCUAGCCAUGGCCAGGGUGAAACUGGGGUAAGACCCAGUGGAGGCCCGAACCGUUGAAGGUUGAAAACUUCUCGGAUGAGCUGUGGCUAGGGGUGAAAGGCCAAUCAAACCUGGAGAUAGCUGGUUCUCCUCGAAAUAUAUUUAGGUAUAGCCUCGUAAGAUGAGUGACGGAGGUAGAGCUCUGGAUGGGCUAGGGGUCCUACCAGAUUACCAAACCCAACUAAACUUCGAAUGCCGUUAUCUUUAUUACGGGAGUCAGUCUAUGGGUGAUAAGGUCCGUAGGCGAAAGGGAAACAGCCCAGACCGCCAGCUAAGGUCCCUAAAUAUGUGCUAAGUGGGAAAGGAUGUGGAAAUGCAGAAACAGCCAGGAGGUUGGCUUAGAAGCAGCCACCCUUUAAAGAAAGCGUAACAGCUCACUGGUCUAGUGGGUCCGCGCCGAAGAUAUACCGGGGCUAAAGCACAUUACCGAAGCUGCGGAUUUCGCAUUUAUGCGGAGUGGUAGGGGAGCGUUCCAGUUGCCUGUGAAGCCAUACCGAGAGGAGUGGUGGAGGUCCUGGAAGUGAUUAUGCUGACAUGAGUAACGAUAACGCCGGUGAAAAACCGGCGCGCCGAAAAUCUAAGGUUUCCUGAGUAAAGCUAAUCUGCUCAGGGUUAGUCGGCCCCUAAGCCGAGGCCGAAAGGCGUAGGCGAUGGGAAACAGGUUAAUAUUCCUGUACCGGCUGAACAGCGUUUGAGUGAUGGGGGGACGCAGAAGGGUAGGUCAUCCAUCUGUUGGAUUAGGUGGUUUAAGCCCGUAGGUGGGCUUCGUAGGCAAAUCCGCGAGGCCAACACUGAGAGGUGAUGACGAGUCCUUUAGGACAUAAAGUGAUUGAUCCCAUGCUGACAAGAAAAACCUCUAAACGAGUUGUUUAGCUGACCGUACCGCAAACCGACACAGGUAGAUGAGGAGAGAAUCCUAAGGCGCUUGAGUAAACCCUGGUUAAGGAACUCGGCAAAUUGACACCGUAACUUUGGAAGAAGGUGUGCCCCUGGUACGUGAAAGGACUUGCUCCUGGAGCGGAAAGGGGUUGCAGAGAGCGGGUGGUAGCGACUGUUUACUAAAAACACAGGACUCUGCUAAGUCGCAAGACGAUGUAUAGGGUCUGACGCCUGCCCGGUGCCGGAAGGUUAAGAGGAGGUGUUAGCUUUCGAGCGAAGCUCCGAAUCGAAGCCCCGGUAAACGGCGGCCGUAACUAUAACGGUCCUAAGGUAGCGAAAUUCCUUGUCGGGUAAGUUCCGACCUGCACGAAUGGCGUAACGACUUCCACGCUGUCUCAACCAGAGACUCAGUGAAAUUGCAGUAGCGGUGAAGAUACCGUUUACCCGCGGAAAGACGGAAAGACCCCGUGCACCUUUACU
Molecule: ribosomal RNA, 2188 nt
Filed under: Deltaproteobacteria bacterium
Lineage: Bacteria; Pseudomonadati; Myxococcota; Myxococcia
Description: bacterial LSU rRNA
Rfam family: Bacterial large subunit ribosomal RNA
Source: RNAcentral